GGCCUCGUGGCCCAAUGGCAAGGCGUCUGACUACGACUGAACUCACAGUACAUGUGAUAUCCCAUGAUAAUCAGGAGAUUCUGGGUUCGACCCCCAGCGAGGUCA
This is a non-coding RNA of Hypoxylon argillaceum, 105 nucleotides long. Lineage: Eukaryota; Fungi; Ascomycota; Sordariomycetes; Xylariales; Hypoxylaceae. The record is from the annotation of a GenBank genome assembly.